Long non-coding RNA from Maniola jurtina (meadow brown), 150 nucleotides. RefSeq lists it as uncharacterized. The transcript has 3 exons. The record is from RefSeq and is a predicted model, not a curated record. Lineage: Eukaryota; Metazoa; Arthropoda; Insecta; Lepidoptera; Nymphalidae.
UAUCUACUUAUCUACUCUAAUAUUGUAAAGAAGUAAAGUUUGUUAGUUUGUUUGUUAACUAAUCUCUGGAACUACUAAACCGAUUUUGAAAAUUCGUUCACCAGUAGAGAGCUACAUUAUUUUUGAGUGACAUUAUUUAUAUUUUAUUUU